UACGUAGGUGACAAGCGUUGUCCGGAUUUACUGGGCGUAAAGAGCGCGCAGGCGGUCGAUCAAGUCGAGUGUGAAAGCCCCCGGCUCAACUGGGGAGGGUCAUUCGAUACUGAUCGACUCGAAGGCAGGAGAGGGUAGUGGAAUUCCCGGUGUAGUGGUGAAAUGCGUAGAUAUCAGGAGGAACACCUGUGGUGUAGACAGCUUACUGGACCAUUUCUGACGCUGAGACACGAAAGCGUGGGUAGCAAACAGG
RNAcentral lists this ribosomal RNA (253 nucleotides) under uncultured bacterium. Its description in RNAcentral is "partial 16S ribosomal RNA". It matches the Rfam family "Bacterial small subunit ribosomal RNA", at positions 524 to 776 of the family's 1533-position model. The record is from RNAcentral.